Camellia sinensis is the source of this 1864-nucleotide non-coding RNA. The record is from RefSeq and is a predicted model, not a curated record. Lineage: Eukaryota; Viridiplantae; Streptophyta; Magnoliopsida; Ericales; Theaceae.
UUAGAGUCGGCUAAAAUUAGUAACAAUUAAGAACAAAGAAAGAUUUUAACAGCUAUCAGAUAUAGUUAUUGGAGAACAAAUAAAAAAAGCAAAUUUUACAACUGUAGCUCGGAAGAAACAUCACAGAUAAGUACAAUUAGUUCAUAACUACUAAGUAAUACAUACACAUACAUGCCGACAUGAAAAUUUGGAUUAAAAUGCACGACAUGACAUGCAUGAGAUACAUUAAAAUUUUAUAUUUUUAAAAUUUAUUAUAGUUCAAAUCUAUGGCUAAUAUAUUCAAAUGUAUAAAAAAUAUUUUAAAAAGCACUAAUUGAAAUUAAAAAGACAUAUAUUUCAUAACUUCAAAGUUAAGAUAUCAUUCACAUAACAAUUGCAUUAUAUACGAUGCAAAAAUAAUUGUAGAACAUUGAAAUACCCAUGAUGUAUUCAUGUUAUAAAUGUUUCAAGACAUAUUUAGUGUAGAAGUUAGAUUUUGAGAAUGGAGAACAUUGUUACUCCAUAAGAGGUUCAUCACGUGGUUUUGUUUGGAGGGUUAAGUGUCACAGAAGUGUCCGUGAGGUGUCUAUAAAGUAUCUGAUAACAAGAAUUUAAAAUUCCAAUCAAGAACGUUGAAAAAGUGUUCCUACAUAGAAGUGUCCGUGCUUCUUAGAUUUAUAACUUCUACUAUCAAAAACACCCAGAGCUUCACCAAGUCCCCCUAAAAACACUACUUGAUGUUGGUAGAUAAGGUAUCAGUUAUAAAAAUAAAAAAUAAAAAUAAAAGAGGGGGAGAAGAAGAGGAAGGAAGAGAAAAGAAAGAAAAAGUAACACAGAAAGGGGUUUUUUUUUUUUUUUUUUUUGAACUACACUUCUCAUCCCUGGACCCAUAUAUUUAUAUUAAAUAGUCGACCAAAUUACAAAAGUACCCUCAUUUCUAAAAUAACAACAAAAUCUAAUAGUAUCAUUCACAGAAUGAUGUAUGUGCUUGCAGUUCCACAUGAUGCUGCAGUUGUAGCUUUAAGUCCAAACCUGUGCUUAUCAACUGGCAGCCUCAUGAUCAGCAAAUUGAUAGACACAAACAUUGACAUGUGUUUGUCUGCAUCAACCAACCUGAUAGAACGCUUUCAGCAUAGACCAGAUAUGUUUCAUAGAAACCAGUCACGUGUCUUCCUCAUCCCUUCCAAUGCCAAUGUAUUUUUUCAAUGUCAGUUAUUGUAAAUUACAUAGAAGAAAUUCCAGUCAAGAUAGUUAGUCAGUCAUUCUGAAAACCCAUCCUGUAUGCAUAUAAUACUGGUGACUAAGAUAAAGUGAUGCAUGAUAUCAGCAAUUAACAAAUCUCAUUAUGAUGAAUACUUUAAAAUUGAAAAAUGGGUAGUGACUACGGGGCAUCAUGUAAUAAAAAGUAAAAAGACGCAUCAGGGAAAAAGCGAGUCCAUUUGAAAGAAUGACAAGGCACCCAUGACAUGCUAUAGUGCAAGCAUUUUGCAAGGAUAUAUCACAUAUCCACACAUGCACAUUAUACAUACAAAUAUUAUUAUGUUUAUAUGUACGCAUAAGGCAGAACAUAUUAAAUUGGUUUAGUUAUCUAUAUAUAAGAACAAGUAGAAGAAAAUAAAGUAGAAACAAAGACGAGAUUGAUAAUUUGGAGAGCUUAGAAUUCUCUACUUUUUUCUUUUUUUCUUAAACUUUAAAAUUAUAAAUAAAAAGUGCAAAGUAACAACUAAAUCAAUAGUGACAACUAGAAAUAGAACUACCAAACUAAAUCUGGUAUAAUAUUACAAAUCUGGUUAUAAACAUUAAACAUUAAACAUUUUUUUUUCUUUUUCUGGAACAUUAGAUUAUAUGAGAUAUAGUCAUGACGAAAGCAAGAGACUAUGACAUU